Molecule: long non-coding RNA, 654 nt
Filed under: Salvia miltiorrhiza (redroot sage)
Lineage: Eukaryota; Viridiplantae; Streptophyta; Magnoliopsida; Lamiales; Lamiaceae
Description: long non-coding RNA (SMIL_LNC000044)
Source: RNAcentral
UACCUCGCUGUUAGAAAUAGAAGGACGAGGGCUUUUGACGGAGGUGCUCGGAGCGGAAUCGCAAAGAGUUUUCAGCGGCGGCGUUUGAAGCUCAGUCGCGAGAAGUCCUCGACGAUGACGCUCGAAAUUGAGCCACAAAGAGUUCUGGAUGGCAAUACUGGGAGUGGAACCGCGGAGAAUCGCGGGAGGAAUCAGCUUUCCGUUCCUGAAACAGGAAUUAAGUAAUCGUCUCAAUCGAGCAUUGGGCUUGAUGCGAAAGAAAAAUUAGACCUUUCAACCAUUCUAGAAUUCGAACCAGGAAAAAUCAUAGAAAUCAGAGGAAUAUUGAGCAAUCGAAGAAGAACUUCACGCAUGAAACUCACCUUCACAUCACGUCUGAUUCGGACUUGAUCGCAAAAGACGAGGGUUUCCAGCGGCGAUGCUUGAAGCCAAAUCGCGGAGGUCUUCGACGAUGGCGCUCCGAGUUGAAUCGCGAGGAACUUCAGGAAAAAGGAAGGUAUGCAAGGUGGGAAGAGGAGUGAUAGCGAAUCAGGAGAAAACCCAUGUGAAGCGCGCCGCCGCGUAUUGAGCGAGAAAAAAAAAAUGAAAUGAGAGGGAACGGUAACUCUAGGGCAACUUUUGAAUGUUAAAAAUAGGGUUAAGUAUCAAUUUAGC